Molecule: ribosomal RNA, 157 nt
Filed under: Periconia banksiae
Lineage: Eukaryota; Fungi; Ascomycota; Dothideomycetes; Pleosporales; Periconiaceae
Description: Noosia banksiae partial 18S ribosomal RNA
Rfam family: Eukaryotic small subunit ribosomal RNA
Source: RNAcentral
UCGCUACUACCGAUUGAAUGGCUCAGUGAGGCCUUCGGACUGGCUCGAGGAGGUUGGCAACGACCACCCCGAGCCGGAAAGUUGGUCAAACUCGGUCAUUUAGAGGAAGUAAAAGUCGUAACAAGGUUUCCGUAGGUGAACCUGCGGAAGGAUCAUU